This 276-nucleotide ribosomal RNA is filed under the name Prymnesium parvum. RNAcentral's name for it is "partial Bacterial large subunit ribosomal RNA". It matches the Rfam family "Bacterial large subunit ribosomal RNA", at positions 1 to 310 of the family's 2925-position model. Lineage: Eukaryota; Haptophyta; Prymnesiales; Prymnesiaceae. The record is from RNAcentral.
GCUAAUAAGGGCGCAUGGGGGAUGUCUUGGCGUCAGAAGGCGAUGACGGGCGUGGAAGACUGCGAAAAGCUUGGGGAAGUUGUCAAACAAACAUUGAUCCCGAGAUACCCUAAUUAGUAUGUACUGAAUACAUAGGUGCAUACGGCCAACCCGGUGAACUGAAACAUCUAAGUAACCGGUGGAAAAGAAAGAAAAAUCGAUUUCGUCAGUAGCGGCGAGCGAACGCGAAAUAGCCCAAACCGCGGGGGUUUUCCUCUGCGGGGUAGUAGGGCCCUU